AAACUGAUUACCUAUCCGACCAGGUUACAGUACACAAAAGAAUAGAUAGUACACAAAAGAAAUAGGUCGUGAGUCUUCACGUGAGUCAUGAAAACAUGUCAUCUACAUGUUCACAUAUCGCCUGACCGAACAUUUUCCAAAUUUUUCUUUUUUCCCACCAAUCCGAGCCUCAUCCUUGUUACUAAGCACGUAAUCUCCAACGAAUCCGGUAACCGCCAUCCCCAAAAUUUUCUAUUUUCCGAAAUUAUAAAAGUCCGACCCGUAUGACUUUUAGUCAGUAUUGUAUCAGUUUAGGUCAGUAUUAGAAAGAGUGUCAGAAAGAGUAUCAGAAAGAGUGUCACAAAGAGUAUCAGAAAGAGUAUCAGUACGAGAUUUAACCAGUUUUAAUAUCAGAUCAGUAUUAGAUCACUACAAGUAAGAGUAUCAGUACGAGAUCACUACCAGUUUUAAUAUCAGAUCAGUAUUAGAUCACUACAAGUAAGAGUAUCAGUACGAGAUCACUACCAGUUUUAAUAUCAGAUCAGUAUUAGAUCACUACAAGUAAGAGUAUCAGUAAGAGUAUCAAUACGAGCACCAGUACCAGAUUAGUAUCGGUAUGAGUACCAGUACCAGUACCAACCGGACGGGAACCACGAUCUUAGAAGACUUAGAAAGACCCAUUUUUUUUCUUCGUACAGAUCAACAUGGGUCGUCGAUCUUGUCAUCAAAGCAGCGAUCUGCACGACGCUCUCCAAACGCUGAGGUUACUGUCUUUGGCCUCCGAUUCUCUUUCACGCGAAGUCCUACACCGGAAAAUUUAUAGAGAGUUCGCACGAUAUUUAGAAUUAGAAGAUCUACCCCCUUUCCCUCUCCACUUAAUGCCACUUACAGAUCUGCACCCUCUUCCACCGCCUCCAUCUUCUCCUCCAUCUCUUCGUCUAUCUUAUUCUUCGCCCCCUUCACUCUCCAAUAAUCCUGAAGACUAACUCUCACCCUCACCCUAUACACUCACGCGCAUACCACACACACACGCACACAUCGUAUUAAAAUUGUAGUUAUAAGUAAAUCAUAUUUUUUCCUUUUGUAAAUAAAUUUAAUUUCUUUCUUAACCCGUCCUCUCCCAUUAUCGCUCGAGGUCCAGUCCCGAGUAAAGAGAUUUAUAUCUCUGACUCAAAAUCGGACCGCUCGCCGUACGUCGUUGCGCUAGUAAAGUGACCCUUCCGGUCGCUGACUCGCUCUUCGACCUACAAGUACAAGCGAGGCUUUCAUUACGUUGCGUUCUCCUGCAGAAUGUAACAAUUACAUGUGCGCGCUAUUUAGCUUCCUGUGAUGAGUAAACCAUAACUGAAAAGACACACACAUACACACACCUUAUGUACAGAAACCUGACUUCAAUAUCUGCUCGACUAUUGGGGGAAAUUAUUUAAACCAGUAUUACUGUGCUCGAGGUAUAUCAAUCGUGCGCGCGCGAUCGCGCGCAACUCCAAUUUUAAUCGACGGCGGGAAUAAUAGUGAGAGGCUGAUCAGCGUCAUUCGGCCUGACGGGAUGACAAAUAGGAGAAAGAGUGAGAGGACAAGAGUGCGAAACGAGAAGCGAACGAGAAAGGAGGGCCGCAGUAGCGCGACGUGGACACGUGGAGAAAAGUUUGUACACACAGAGAGCCGGCGGCUUACACCGUAUGACGCGACGACGAUGACGACGACGGCCGUGUAUGUGUCCCAGCCGGCUGUGCUCUCGCUUCUGGCUCUAUCGAUUUAGGACGACUCUACGUAACACAACCCGUCGGUUCGUACACACAACGACGGCCCCUUCCGUAUUAUGCCCACCGGAGUUAUUACGCAGUCGCAGAGAGCACUCUCUCAGGACCCGUGGAUCCUGACGCCUAACCGCCGCUUCUCCCCGCGAGCCUCUCUACGCUCGCUCUAUCUUCAUUUUUCCUCACUUUCCUGCGAACCGCCGUGCGGCGAAGUUUACCGUGCGCACGGUUGGGCGGAAGUAGCGAAACGUGAUUACACGAAGACGAGAAUUUCGCAAGUCACCCCGACGAGUUGGGCAAACACCUGAAGAUUAAGGGUGAAGAUUGGCGACGCCCACCGGGAAAUUAAUAAUUUCUAUCUAUUUGUGCGGAACAGCGAGCAGCUUGAGCAAUACUUGAUGAAUAGCGAUUUUAAAUCGUUAAUUAGACUAAUUAGAAUUGCAAAGUCAUCUUAAUGCGUUGAAUGCCGUGAAAAUCACCGGUGACAAGUACUGUGUGACACUGCUGAGUCUCAUUAAGAUGCGUGCAGAGUAUAAUUAUCUUUCCUUGACGCGCGUAUUAGAUUCUGCGGCAAUGUCCGGCAUUAAUUGAUGAGAAUUUUCUCUGACUAAAAUAAUCGGCAAAUCAAUCAAAAUUAAUCCAUCAUCAUAAAUGUAAUUAUGAAUAAUUUAAUUGGUUACUGAAAUUAAUUAUUAAUUAGCAUAUAAUCAAUCACAUUAAAAUUUGAUUGAUAAUUGACUUCACUAAUAGAUAAAGUAAUUUGUGAUUUUACAUAUCUUAUACGUGACGAUUGAUUAAUUUUUAUCAUUGAUUUGCGCCGAUUGUUUUAGUCAAGAGAACAUUUUAAUCGAUUAAUGUCAAAACACCGCACCCACACGUCUCUAACGUCAAUAAUACGUCAUUAAUACAUCAUCCUGCCACUUGAAAAUAUUUUAAACUGAUAUGGAAAUAUAUAAUGUUGUUAUCUUUAAUAAAGGAAACGAUAAUUACAGAAUAAUUACAAAAAUCUAAAUUUUUGUAUACAAAAAAGUCAAAAAAGUACUUUAAAAAGUCAAAAUGAUGUAUUUGUAUUCAUGUAAAUAUGAUGUAAAAUGAUAAUGUAAUAUGAUAAUGAUAAUGAUAAUGUAAUAUGAUGUUAAAAUAUAAAUACGCUGUUAUCGUACGUAUCAUAACCAAACAGUAUACGUGUCUGAAAUGCGUCUCUAGAUAUUUUAAAGAUAUCUGAAAAAAUAGGACAUUUUUCAGACGUCUCUAAGAUAUCUUUUAGAUAUUCACGCUGUAUGGAUACGUUUUAUGCGAAAAAUAGAGAUAUUAACGUAUUUCUAAGUUUCAGUGACAUUUUUCAAGGACUGCGUAUAGGCAAGGCGCCUUUAAAAACUUGUAAGGCCAAUAGAGAGUCGACGAGACGAAGUAAGAGUUA
Long non-coding RNA from Odontomachus brunneus, 3156 nucleotides. RefSeq lists it as uncharacterized. NCBI's taxonomy places the organism in Eukaryota, Metazoa, Arthropoda, Insecta, Hymenoptera, Formicidae. The transcript has 2 exons. The record is from RefSeq and is a predicted model, not a curated record.